GGAAUACAGUUCCAUUUCGCAACCCAUUGAAUAGUCAGAAGCAAGCAUCCAAAUAAGAGUGAAGACACCAUUACUACUUUUAUCAUAACCACAACCUUACCAAUCAAAAAUCAAAUACACCACACAAGAUAACAAUUCUACUGCAUAAGCAAACAAUAAAUAAUAUUACUAAAAUUAAAAUUGCGACAAGCACGCAAGAUUUAAUUCUAAAGCAAUCGAAA
RNAcentral lists this unclassified non-coding RNA (221 nucleotides) under Hevea brasiliensis (rubber tree). Lineage: Eukaryota; Viridiplantae; Streptophyta; Magnoliopsida; Malpighiales; Euphorbiaceae. The record is from RNAcentral.